Molecule: non-coding RNA, 77 nt
Filed under: Legionella israelensis DSM 19235
Lineage: Bacteria; Pseudomonadati; Pseudomonadota; Gammaproteobacteria; Legionellales; Legionellaceae
Source: RNAcentral
GGGAGCCGUAUGAAUCGAGAGGUUCACGUACGGUUCUGCGAGGGGGCUGGCGGGGAAGGUCCGCUGGUCUACUUUCC